Molecule: ribosomal RNA, 421 nt
Filed under: uncultured bacterium
Lineage: Bacteria
Description: bacterial SSU rRNA
Rfam family: Bacterial small subunit ribosomal RNA
Source: RNAcentral
UGGGGAAUAUUGCACAAUGGGCGAAAGCCUGAUGCAGCGACGCCGCGUGAGGGAUGACGGCCUUCGGGUUGUAAACCUCUUUCAGCAGGGACGAAGCGAAAGUGACGGUACCUGCAGAAGAAGCACCGGCCAACUACGUGCCAGCAGCCGCGGUAAUACGUAGGGUGCAAGCGUUGUCCGGAAUUAUUGGGCGUAAAGAGCUCGUAGGCGGUCUGUCACGUCGGCUGUGAAAACCUGGGGCUCAACCCCGGGCCUGCAACCGAUACGGGCAGACUAGAAUUCGGUAGGGGAGACUGGAAUUCCUGGUGUAGCGGUGAAAUGCGCAGAUAUCAGGAGGAACACCGGUGGCGAAGGCGGGUCUCGUGGGCCGAUAUUGACGCUGAGGAGCGAAAGCGUGGGGAGCGAACAGGAUUAGAUACCC